This 253-nucleotide ribosomal RNA is filed under the name uncultured bacterium. RNAcentral's name for it is "partial 16S ribosomal RNA". It matches the Rfam family "Bacterial small subunit ribosomal RNA", at positions 524 to 776 of the family's 1533-position model. The record is from RNAcentral.
UACGUAGGGGGCAAGCGUUGUCCGGAAUCAUUGGGCGUAAAGCGCGCGUAGGCGGCCUCACAAGUCCGCUGUGAAAGUCAAAGGCUCAACCUUUGAAAGCCAGUGGAAACUGUGAGGCUAGAGUCCGGAAGAGGCGGGUGGAAUUCCUGGUGUAGCGGUGGAAUGCGCAGAUAUCAGGAGGAACACCAACGGCGAAGGCAGCUCGCUGGGACGGUACUGACGCUAAGGCGCGAAAGCGUGGGGAGCAAACAGG